AAUAGAUACCCUGUAGUCCACGCCGUAAACGAUGAGUGCUAAGUGUUAGGGGGUUUCCGCCCCUUAGUGCUGCAGCUAACGCAUUAAGCACUCCGCCUGGGGAGUACGGUCGCAAGACUGAAACUCAAAGGAAUUGACGGGGGCCCGCACAAGCGGUGGAGCAUGUGGUUUAAUUCGAAGCAACGCGAAGAACCUUACCAGGUCUUGACAUCCCAUUGACCGCUAUGGAGACAUAGCUUUCCCUUCGGGGACAGUGGUGACAGGUGGUGCAUGGUUGUCGUCAGCUCGUGUCGUGAGAUGUUGGGUUAAGUCCCGCAACGAGCGCAACCCUUGUUCUUAGUUGCCAUCAUUUAGUUGGGCACUCUAAGGAGACUGCCGGUGACAAACCGGAGGAAGGUGGGGAUGACGUCAAAUCAUCAUGCCCCUUAUGACCUGGGCUACACACGUGCUACAAUGGACGGUACAAACGGUUGCCAACCCGCGAGGGGGAGCUAAUCCGAUAAACCGUCUCAGUUACGGUAGUUGUAGGUCGUGUCGAACUCGUCCUAC
RNAcentral lists this ribosomal RNA (549 nucleotides) under uncultured bacterium. RNAcentral describes it as "bacterial SSU rRNA". It matches the Rfam family "Bacterial small subunit ribosomal RNA", at positions 777 to 1320 of the family's 1533-position model. The record is from RNAcentral.